UACGAAGCGUGCAAGCGCUGCCCGGAUUUAUUGGGUUUAAAGGGUGCGUAGGUGGCUGAUUUAGUCAUGGGUGAAAGCCCGCAGCUCAACUGUGGAAUUGCCUGUGAUACUGAUUAGCUUGAGUGCGGUUGAGGCAGCUGGAAUUGGUGGUGUAGCGGUGAAAUGCAUAGAUGCCACCAGGAACACCGAUUGCGAAGGCAGGUUGCUAAGCCGUAACUGACACUGAGGCACGAAAGCGUGGGGAGCAAACAGG
RNAcentral lists this ribosomal RNA (253 nucleotides) under uncultured bacterium. Its description in RNAcentral is "partial 16S ribosomal RNA". It matches the Rfam family "Bacterial small subunit ribosomal RNA", at positions 524 to 776 of the family's 1533-position model. The record is from RNAcentral.